AUUGAACGCUGGCGGCAUGCCUAACACAUGCAAGUCGAACGGUAACGCGGAGAGCUUGCUCUCUGGCGACGAGUGGCGGACGGGUGAGUAAUACUUAGGAAUCUGCCCAGUAGUGGGGGACAACAUUCGGAAACGGAUGCUAAUACCGCAUACGCACUACGGUGGAAAGUGGGGGACCUUCGGGCCUCACGCUAUUGGAUGAGCUUAAGUCGGAUUAGCUUGUUGGUAGGGUAAUGGCCUACCAAGGCGACGAUCCGUAGCUGGUCUGAGAGGACGAUCAGCCACACUGGGACUGAGACACGGCCCAGACUCCUACGGGAGGCAGCAGUGGGGAAUAUUGGACAAUGGGCGCAAGCCUGAUCCAGCAAUGCCGCGUGUGUGAAGAAGGCCUGCGGGUUGUAAAGCACUUUCAGUAGAGAAGAAAAGCUUACGGUUAAUACCCGUGAGUCUUGACGUAACCUACAGAAGAAGCACCGGCUAACUCCGUG
RNAcentral lists this ribosomal RNA (488 nucleotides) under uncultured bacterium. Its description in RNAcentral is "bacterial SSU rRNA". It matches the Rfam family "Bacterial small subunit ribosomal RNA", at positions 30 to 507 of the family's 1533-position model. The record is from RNAcentral.